UACAGAGGUCUCAAGCGUUGUUCGGAUUCAUUGGGCGUAAAGGGUGCGUAGGUGGCGGGGUAGUCAGGUGUGAAAUCUCGGAGCUCAACUCCGAAACUGCACUUGAUACUGCCUUGCUAGAGUACUGGAGAGGAGAUUGGAAUUUUACGGUGUAGCAGUGAAAUGCGUAGAUAUCGUAAGGAAGACCAGUGGCGAAGGCGAAUCUCUGGACAGUACUGACACUGAGGCACGAAGGCCAGGGGAGCAAACGGGAUAGAAAC
Molecule: ribosomal RNA, 260 nt
Filed under: uncultured bacterium
Lineage: Bacteria
Description: partial 16S ribosomal RNA
Rfam family: Bacterial small subunit ribosomal RNA
Source: RNAcentral